GAACAUAUCAGCUUCACAGCCUAAGUUUUGUGGUACAGUAUUUUGGUCUCACAAGGUUACAUUACACAUAGGCUGGAUUUACAUUAUUUUUGCAUGUGGCAGCUUAGGUUUCAAUAAAAGCUUAAAACAAGAAAAUAUAACCACAUGUUGCCUUACAGCUUAUGCAUUUCUGUCUUUCAAGAUUACAUUAAAAUUAAUUGCAUUUGCUUGUUUUUAGUUCUUCAUCUGAGCAUCUGACAAACAGUAUACAUCUUAUAACAUGAAUAUUUACCAUGAGCACUUCAGAUGAAGCUUCCUCAUCUGUAUUACUGUUAUAUUAUUCAAACUACUUUACUGAAAACAAUCAUCUACCUCUACUGUAAGGUUACCUGGACCCAUAUUCUCAGACACUUCGCCGCUAACACUCAUAUUUGACAGGGUUUUCAUAGGGGUUGUGGGCAUUUCCCGGGGUAGUUUAAUGACCCUUGUGGUAGUACGACCCUUCUUCUGUACCAUGAACGUGAAAAAGCACUCACGAGAACCCGAUUAAUCUUCUUUACGGCCUUUGGAAAUUGUUGAGGUGAGAGGCAGAAGCAUCUGAGAAUACCGACCCUGCCUGUGUAAUCAGUGGUUCACUCCCACAUCCAGAAUAAAGGAUGAAGAGGAGGCUAAAUUUGGCUACAAGAAUGCUUACAGUACAGCAACUUUAUUUCAUAUUCAUCGAGGUAAAGUAACGUUGGGGGUAUACGCUGUAGCAGCGCGUGGCCUCGGUGCUCAUCACCGUAACAUUGGCCCUUGAGCCUGUGGUGGGAGGGAGCCCAUCACCCCGGGACACAGGGCCAGAGUGACAUCCGGGUUACCAGUUUACCUUCCCCAGGUUUCCCCAGGUACCCAUUUAUCGACCUGCCCGAAAGGGAGGAUGAACUGCUGGGUGAGCUGCAAGUCGACUGCCCGGGCCGGGAUUCGAACCCGAGCCCACGGAGUAGAAGCCAGGCACGCUGACCACUAGACCACGGAGGCGUAUAUUCAUCAAGAGCACAUUAUAAUCUCCAAUUUCAUUAUCCCCUCUCCUGCCGAGCCCUUGACUUUAUACUCUUUUUUUUACAGCAAAGGAAGCAGCUCAAGGGCAACAAAAAGAAGCUGUAGAUAAAAAAAAAAAAAAUAAAAAAAAAAAAGGAGCCCACUAAUUGCUACUCCUACAAAAGCUAAAAGUGAAGAGUGGCCAAAAGAGAGGCUAAUUUCAGGUGGAGAGGUGUCAAAACUACUCACAACAGUUAUAUUGAGCCCUAAGAACAUACGAUCCCCUUCUAACAGCAACCCUUACUGGAGAAGUACAGAAACAGCGACAGGUACAGUGGUGGGAAUAUCAAACACACACCUCGGCCACGGGCAAAGAGGUGUGUUGGUGCUCUCUGGACAUUGCAAGAACACAUAUUUAAUUUCACGGCAUAUCAAACACACACCUCGGCCACGGGCAAAGAGGUGUGUUGGUGCUCUCUGGACAUUGCAAGAACACAUAUUUAAUUUCACGGCAUUUCAAACACACACCUCGGCCAUGGGCAAGGUGGUGUGUUGGUGCUCUCUGGACAUUGCAAGAACACAUUUAAUUUCACGGCAUAUCAAACAAACACCUCAGCCACCCGUAAGGAGGUGUGUUGGUGCUCUCUGGACAUUGCAAGAACACAUAUUUAAUUUCACGGCAUAUCAAACAAACACCUCAGCCACGCGUAAGGAGGUGUGUUGGUGCUCUCUGGACAUUGCAAGAACACAUUUAAUUUCACGGCAUAUCAAACAAACACCUCAGCCACCCGUAAGGAGGUGUGUUGGUGCUCUCUGGACAUUGCAAGAACACAUAUUUAAUUUCACGGCAUAUCAAACAAACACAGCCACGCGUAAGGAGGUGUGUUGGUGCUCUCUGGACAUUGCAAGAACACAUAUUUAAUUUCACGGCAUAUCAAACAAACACCUCGGCCACGGGUAAGGAGGUGUGUUGGUGCUCUCUGGACAUUGCAAGAACACAUAUUUAAUUUCACGGCAUAUCAAACAAACACCUCGGCCACGCGUAAGGAGGUGUGUUGGUGCUCUCUGGACAUUGCAAGAACACAUAUUUAAUUUCACGGCAUAUCAAACAAACACCUCGGCCACGGGUAAGGAGGUGUGUUGGUGCUCUCUGGACAUUGCAAGAACACAUAUUUAAUUUCACGGCAUAUCAAACACACACCUCGGCCAUGGGCAAGGAGGUGUGUUGGUGCUCUCUGGACAUUGCAAGAACACAUAUUUAAUUUCACGGCAUAUCAAACAAACACCUCGGCCAUGCGUAAGGAGGUGUGUUGGUGCUCUCUGGACAUUGCAAGAACACAUAUUUAAUUUCACGGCAUAUCAAACAAACACAGCCACGCGUAAGGAGGUGUGUUGGUGCUCUCUGGACAUUGCAAGAACACAUUUAAUUUCACGGCAUAUCAAACAAACACCUCGGUCACGGGCAAGGAGGUGUGUUGGUGCGGUUGGUACUUUUUGGACAUGGCAACAACAUGCUUAAUUUCACGGACACCUCCAAUUCUGUGCUCUGUGUCUCCAUUCUCUACACCUACUAGUGCCAUGGAGAUCAGACCCACAGGUGGUAGAGGAACACGUCUUCACUGAUCGGCCACACACCUUCUCAAUGUAGGUAGACAGCAGACGUUUGCUGGGGUGGACAGGGCUCCGAGGUGUUGCUUCCUCGCCCGCCCUAGGUGAUCCGCGGGGCUCCUGGAGAAGACGAGAGAAGGUUAGGUCAUAUUUUAAAACAUUUCAUCGCCCAAGAACACUAAUUUGACAGGGCUUUCGUAUGUGUUGUGGGCAUUUCCAGGAGAGAAGGUUAGGUCAUAUUUUAAAACAUUUCAUCGCCCAAGAACACUAAUUUGACAGGGCUUUCGUAUGUGUUGUGGGCAUUUCCAGGAGAGAAGGUUAGGUCAUAUUUUAAAACAUUUCAUCGCCCAAGAACACUAAUUUGACAGGGCUUUCGUAUGAGUUGUGGGCAUUUCCAGGAGCAGUUAUAUAACCCUGGUGAUAGUGUGACCCUUCCUCUGUACCAUGAACCUGUAGAAACACCCAUUAGAACCCAAUUGACCCCCUCUUUGACCUUUAGAGUGAGGAUUCUGCUUAGAGUGAGUGUAGAAAUGGCUGUUGUGGGAGUAAUAGUGGUGGUGGUUGUUGUAGAUGUAUAGUAAUGAUAAUGAAAGGGAUGGUGGUGGUGAUGGUUGUGUUAGUGGUAGUGGUGGUGGUGGUGACGAUGGUACGAGUGAAAGAGGGUCAAAUACAGGGUCAAAUACUCUACAAGCACAUAAACUCAAGCAUUGGGCAUUGAAAUCAUUAAAAGUGCCCAAACCCUUCAUGAAUAUUGGUCCAGAGAAAACCUUGAUGUAAUUAGGAUUUGAGGGAAUACUAAUAAUUAAAGCGAGGUGUAAAAAUAGAUGUGAUACUGCAAUAUAUGGAUGCAAUACUUUAAAGCCUGUCAUUUCAAAGGGGGGAGAAAUCUUAGGUUACACAUCUCCGCAGGCCACCUCUCCCUUGGACACACACACACACACACACACACGUCCGGGACUUGUCGAACACUUGCGCAGAGACGAAUAUGAAUGUGGCGAUGACGUUGUGGAUAAGUGUGUGUGUGUGUGUGUGUGUGUUUUGUAAAUGAGACCAAUGCAACAUCCUAUUCCUCUUCCUCCUCCUCCUCCUCCUCCUCCUCUUCUUCUUCUUCCUCCUAACUUCGCCCCUCUUCCCACUUAUCUUCACCUGUAUCCUUACUACACAAUCCCUUCUUCCUUCUUCCUCUCCUCUCUCUCCUCCAUUUAUCUUCUCCUCCUCUCUUCUCUUCUCCAGUUCUCCCUCCUUCCUUCUCUCCUCUUGAAACGUUCCUCCUUAUCCCUCAUCUUCCUUUCUUCCUCCAUACCUCCGUUUCCUCCCUCUCCCCAUCUUUCCCCACAUUUGCAUAUUUUCCUCUCCCUUCCUCUUCCUGUUCUCCCCUUACAUGGUUUCUCCCUCCUCCCUCCAUUGUCUUCUUUUACAGCCCCUUCUUCUUCCCUCUCUUCUUUGUCACCUCUAAAAACAGCAUCGUCAUCCCUUCAACCUUCCUUUUAUUUGUCUCUUUAACUCCUCCUCCUCCUCCUCCUUCCCUUUCGUACGGUUACCCUCCUCUUCUCUUUUUCCUCCCUUUUUUCCCUCCUCUCUCUUACGACCGCCCUUUUCCUCCCCCUCUCCUUCCCUCUCUCCUACGACACCCUUUCCUUCAUUCUCCAAGCCCCAUUUUCCUCCCCCUCUCCUUCCCUCCCUCCUACGACCCCCUUUCCUCCAUUCUCCAAGCCCCAUUUUCCUC
Eriocheir sinensis (Chinese mitten crab) is the source of this 4333-nucleotide long non-coding RNA. RefSeq lists it as uncharacterized. Lineage: Eukaryota; Metazoa; Arthropoda; Malacostraca; Decapoda; Varunidae. The record is from RefSeq and is a predicted model, not a curated record. The transcript has 6 exons.